This 253-nucleotide ribosomal RNA is filed under the name uncultured bacterium. RNAcentral describes it as "partial 16S ribosomal RNA". It matches the Rfam family "Bacterial small subunit ribosomal RNA", at positions 524 to 776 of the family's 1533-position model. The record is from RNAcentral.
UACGGAGGAUGCAAGCGUUAUCCGGAAUGAUUGGGCGUAAAGCGUCCGCAGGUGGCAAUGUAAGUCUGCUGUUAAAGCGUCUAGCUCAACUAGAUAAAAGCAGUGGAAACUACAUAGCUAGAGUACGUUCGGGGCAGAGGGAAUUCCUGGUGUAGCGGUGAAAUGCGUAGAGAUCAGGAAGAACACCAGUGGCGAAGGCGCUCUGCUAGGCCGUAACUGACACUGAGGGACGAAAGCUAGGGGAGCGAAUGGG